CUCCAGACCAGGUUUAGGCUCUGCCCCUGUGUUUGGAGAGCAAGAAAUGAAACUAAGCUUUUUUUCAGGAAACUGAAACAGAGAAGCAGCCAAGUUUCGUUUUACGAUUCUUCUUGCUUCAUUUGAAUACUCCUGCUGACCUCAGCCCCAAACCUCCCCAGGUAGGAACUGGGCACUCCCAAUUCCCUCCACAUCUAGUAAGUGCUUACUGGGGAGGGCUCCAACUGCCUGUGGAGGAAACAGCAAAGUGGGACAGGACCAAACGCUUUGAUUCUACCUCUUCCCCUGUGACCCCAAACAGCUAGCCUUGUCCAAUAAGCACACUGGCAAAUCUCAAAAAAAAAAAAGUUGGGCGGAGCUCAGGACCACGGAUUUUUCUCCCGACUUUACAGGGAAAGGGCCCUUGAUUGAGAGGACUCAGAGUCCAUUUGAAAAAUCAGCACAUGUAUGUCUCGAUGGAGACACAGUGGAAAAAGUUCCUAGUCCCCUUGGCUUUUCUGGGAGCCAUGGUCAUCAUACUGUCAACCCUCCUGGGGGUUUACGCGUACAGAGCCAACUCAGAAGCCUGUCAGCAGGGCUUGGUGCUCCACAACGAAAGCCAGCAACUAAAGAAGAAGCUGAGGCAGAGCCAGGAAAGCUUCCUGGAGAUGGAGGCCCAAUGGUGGAGCUGCGGCAAUAUUUCGAGAAAAAAAGAACCCAGCAGAGACAAGUUCAGCACUCCCUGGCCCUCAGAUCUACUCUUUACUUCUGAGUCUAGGUCUGGCCAUUGCCUUGAUUCCCUGAGCAUCCUGAGCAAGGCACUUCCUACCCUUUCGGAGACUUCUAUGCUCUGGUUCCUGGUGUUAUUUCCUGAAGCUUAA
This 860-nucleotide long non-coding RNA is filed under the name Vombatus ursinus (common wombat). Its description in RNAcentral is "lncRNA (ENSVURG00010024839.1)". Lineage: Eukaryota; Metazoa; Chordata; Mammalia; Diprotodontia; Vombatidae. The record is from RNAcentral.